Jaculus jaculus (lesser Egyptian jerboa) is the source of this 121-nucleotide small nucleolar RNA. NCBI's taxonomy places the organism in Eukaryota, Metazoa, Chordata, Mammalia, Rodentia, Dipodidae. The record is from Ensembl.
AAUACUCAUGUGAUUUUGCUUAACUUGUGGACAAAGAUACCAGGCAGGUACAUAAGUAAACCCUCUUCUGCAACACAGGGCUCAUUGUAUGGUAUGUUUGAUACAUAUAAGGAGGAAUAUG